GACGAACGCUGGCGGCGUGCUUAACACAUGCAAGUCGAACGGAAAGGCCCUGCUUGCAGGGUACUCGAGUGGCGAACGGGUGAGUAACACGUGGGUGAUCUGCCCUGCACUUCGGGAUAAGCCUGGGAAACUGGGUCUAAUACCGGAUAGGAGCCAUUUUUAGUGUGAUGGUUGGAAAGUUUUUUCGGUGUAGGAUGAGCUCGCGGCCUAUCAGCUUGUUGGUGGGGUAAUGGCCUACCAAGGCGGCGACGGGUAGCCGGCCUGAGAGGGUGGACGGCCACAUUGGGACUGAGAUACGGCCCAGACUCCUACGGGAGGCAGCAGUGGGGAAUAUUGCACAAUGGGCGCAAGCCUGAUGCAGCGACGCCGCGUGGGGGAUGACGGCCUUCGGGUUGUAAACUCCUUUCGCUAGGGACGAAGCUUUUGUGACGGUACCUAGAGAAGAAGCACUGGCUAACUACGUG
Molecule: ribosomal RNA, 464 nt
Filed under: uncultured bacterium
Lineage: Bacteria
Description: partial 16S ribosomal RNA
Rfam family: Bacterial small subunit ribosomal RNA
Source: RNAcentral